This 19-nucleotide small nuclear RNA is filed under the name Arabidopsis thaliana (thale cress). RNAcentral describes it as "snRNA_10457". Lineage: Eukaryota; Viridiplantae; Streptophyta; Magnoliopsida; Brassicales; Brassicaceae. The record is from RNAcentral.
GGACUUCAGUGAUUUGGAA